ACCGUGAGGCAUCCCAGGUUUGCAAAUCCUAAGGAGCACCAAUUUACUCCCCAACAGUGCCCUACUAAAAGGGCUAUUAGAGUAUUUUGGUUUAUCAUAAUCAGUUCAUUCUGAUUAUUGCCCACACGCAUUAGCAAGGAAAUUCGUAAGGCAUGACAUGUAACAAGUCACAACCUGGUGGCGAAAACUUGCUGGACCAGAGAACAGCAACAGGGAAGCAGAAGGGAGUGGUGGCAAAGACAAACAGGAGGAUAACGCAAACUAUUGCCACCUGCAUCCGGCUAGACAAACUGGAUGGAGCCGACCUGCAGGUACGUCACCCGCCAAGCUUGCUCUCGGUGAGGUGGGCAGUGUUUACAGCCCUCGACGCCGGCGGUCCUGAUGCAGGGAGGGCCCCAGGUCCUCAGCUGGCCCACCCCACACCAGGGCGCCGUCAGCUGCCACUCACAGCAGGCAGCGCAGCAGCAGUCGCCGGUGACAGGCGUCAGUCCCGGGUCUCGGCGGAUACGCCAGGGUCCUGAGCCUAUCAGGCCUCCAGGGCGGCCGGCGCUGGCUCGGCUGCCUCAGCGGCCG
Molecule: long non-coding RNA, 573 nt
Filed under: Rattus norvegicus (Norway rat)
Lineage: Eukaryota; Metazoa; Chordata; Mammalia; Rodentia; Muridae
Description: long non-coding RNA NONRATT030030
Source: RNAcentral